Molecule: long non-coding RNA, 1374 nt
Filed under: Marmota monax (woodchuck)
Lineage: Eukaryota; Metazoa; Chordata; Mammalia; Rodentia; Sciuridae
Source: RNAcentral
UGGGAGCAAUGGGGAGUGGUAGAGAUCGUGUUGAACUGAUUGACACAUGUCCCUUCUGAAGAGUUGAGCCACUCCUAAGCUCUAUGUGGGAGUGCCACAAGGGAAUGGGGGAUCCAAACUGCCUCUCAGAGUUUAGACUUUAAUGAAGAAUCUUCCAAGUGUUAAAUGUUGACUCACAUCAAUAUAUAUGUAGGUCAACCAGACUAAUGCCACAGGCAGACCUGCAGCAGAUGAGCAUCCAUGAUGCCCUCUCCAUAGCCUCAGAGGACACCACAAACAUUGCAAUUGAACAUAGUGUCCAUGGUUACCCCAGCUGGUGCAGCAUGGUGACCCAGAUUCCACCAGCCACAGUGAGCAAUGAUACUUUGUCUCUGAGCAGAGUUCUCCAAGACACUGUUUAAACUUUAGUGUGUAUAAGAACCCUCUAUAAUAAUUGUCCUGAGACUCACUAUCUGAUAUUCUGAGGGAGAGCCUUGGAGUCUAUAUCUAAAAAAAAAAAAAAUUCUAAUAGACUUUAUUUUCUACAACACUUUUAGAUUUAUAAAAAAGAGUUCCCAUAAACCCAAUUUCCCCCCUUUUGUUAACACCUUACGUUAGUAUGACAAUUAAUGAACCAGUCCUGAUACAUUAUUAACUAAAGCCCAAUACUUUCAUUAUUAAAGUCCAUACAUUAUUCAGGGUUUCUGACUGUUUGCUUAAUGUUCUUUUUCUAUUCCAGAACCAUCCAGGUUUCCACAUUACCCUUGUAGUUGUGUCUCCUUAGGCUCCUCCUGGCUUGUCAAGGAUACACACUAUCAACCUGGCUUAUCACUGUUGACAUUGACCUUGAUUGCCUCCCUGAGGUGGUGUUUGUCCAGUUUCUCUACUGAAAAAACACUCUGCCUUCCACAUGGCAGUCCUUAGACGUCAGAAUGCACGGCCACACUUACAGAGUGAGUUUGACUCCACCUCUUUGAGGACAGAGUAUCUACAUAAAUUACUAAGAAUUCCUCUGCACAGAUUUGUCUCUUCCUUUCCCCCUUUUGUUUAUAUCAGUAUGGACUCAUGGAUAUUUAUCUCAUACUUUGGAUAAUAAUCCAAUACUACUUUGUUUUGUUGCUCAAAUUGCUCCAACGUUGGCCACUGAAAGUUCUUUCUGUGAUCUCCUGUGUCUCUUGGAUAAUCCUCCAUCAGUGUGGGUUUUCGGCCUCCUCUGUAAUGAGCUCCUCAGGUUAUGCGGAUGGAGGUGGUCCCAGGCCACACUGUGGUAAAGUGGCUAUAGGAGUCGGCCCUGAACUCUGCUAAAUACGGAACGCUGCCCAGUCAGGGAUUCCUUCAGCAGGUGGAUAAGGGAGUAACUCCUCUGUGAUCUUAUUCAUUCAGCAAACACUUACC